AUUGCUUUCAUCGAGCUUUGGAAACUGUACACAGACUCUAAUUGUCCGUUUGGGGCACAAGACAGUGGAAAGUUGCUGACUUGAAGCGACCAUGGGAAACGAGCAUUCAACUCAGGAAAAACGGCAGAAGGCAAAUGCUGAGAAAAAAGUCCAAAAUGGAGAGCUGAAUGGACAUGCAGUAGCAGCUCCAGAUGAAACUGAACCUGGUAUGUAUAUGAUUUACUGCACAUUUAUUCUGUUCAUGUGAUUAAAUU
This 254-nucleotide long non-coding RNA is filed under the name Sinocyclocheilus grahami. RNAcentral's name for it is "lncRNA (ENSSGRG00000054591.1)". Lineage: Eukaryota; Metazoa; Chordata; Actinopteri; Cypriniformes; Cyprinidae. The record is from RNAcentral.